This 501-nucleotide ribosomal RNA is filed under the name uncultured bacterium. Its description in RNAcentral is "partial 16S ribosomal RNA". It matches the Rfam family "Bacterial small subunit ribosomal RNA", at positions 29 to 523 of the family's 1533-position model. The record is from RNAcentral.
AUUGAACGCUGGCGGCAUGCCUUACACAUGCAAGUCGAACGGCAGCACGGGUGCUUGCACCUGGUGGCGAGUGGCGAACGGGUGAGUAAUACAUCGGAACGUACCUUAUCGUGGGGGAUAACGCAGCGAAAGCUGUGCUAAUACCGCAUACGCCCUGAGGGGGAAAGCGGGGGAUCGAGAGACCUCGCGCGAUUAGAGCGGCCGAUGCCUGAUUAGCUUGUUGGUGGGGUAAAAGCCCACCAAGGCGACGAUCAGUAGCUGGUCUGAGAGGACGAUAAGCCACACUGGGACUAAGACACGGCCCAGACUCCUACGGGAGGCAGCAGUGGGGAAUUUUGGACAAUGGGGGCAACCCUGAUCCAGCAAUGCCGCGUGAGUGAAGAAGGCCUUCGGGUUGUAAAGCUCUUUUGUCAGGGAAGAAACACCGGCUCUAACACAGUCCGGGAAUGACGGUACCUGAAGAAUAAGCACCGGCUAACUACGUGCCAGCAGCCGCCGUAA